AGAGUUUGAUCCUGGCUCAGGACGAACGCUGGCGGCGUGCCUAACACAUGCAAGUCGAGCGAUGAAGCCCUUCGGGGUGGAUUAGCGGCGGACGGGUGAGUAACACGUGGGUAACCUACCUCAAAGAGGGGGAUAGCCUCCCGAAAGGGAGAUUAAUACCGCAUAACAUUAGUUUUUCGCAUGAAGAACUAAUUAAAGGAGUAAUCCGCUUUGAGAUGGACCCGCGGCGCAUUAGCUAGUUGGUGAGGUAAUAGCUCACCAAGGCGACGAUGCGUAGCCGACCUGAGAGGGUGAUCGGCCACAUUGGAACUGAGAUACGGUCCAGACUCCUACGGGAGGCAGCAGUGGGGAAUAUUGCACAAUGGGCGAAAGCCUGAUGCAGCAACGCCGCGUGAGUGAUGAAGGCCUUCGGGUUGUAAAGCUCUGUCUUUGGGGACGAUAAUGACGGUACCCAAGA
This 457-nucleotide ribosomal RNA is filed under the name uncultured bacterium. Its description in RNAcentral is "bacterial SSU rRNA". It matches the Rfam family "Bacterial small subunit ribosomal RNA", at positions 8 to 484 of the family's 1533-position model. The record is from RNAcentral.